This 693-nucleotide ribosomal RNA is filed under the name uncultured soil bacterium. Its description in RNAcentral is "bacterial SSU rRNA". It matches the Rfam family "Bacterial small subunit ribosomal RNA", at positions 64 to 762 of the family's 1533-position model. The record is from RNAcentral.
GAGCGGGGGUAGCAAUACCCUAGCGGCGAACGGGUGAGGAAUGCUUGGGAAUCUGCCUGGUAGUGGGGGAUAACGUUCCGAAAGGAACGCUAAUACCGCAUACGUCCUACGGGAGAAAGGGGGGGAUCUUCGGACCUCUCGCUAUCAGAUGAGCCCAAGCGGGAUUAGCUAGUUGGUGAGGUAAAGGCUCACCAAGGCGACGAUCCCUAGCUGGUCUGAGAGGAUGAUCAGCCACACUGGAACUGAGACACGGUCCAGACUCCUACGGGAGGCAGCAGUGGGGAAUAUUGGACAAUGGGCGAAAGCCUGAUCCAGCCAUGCCGCGUGUGUGAAGAAGGCCUUCGGGUUGUAAAGCACUUUAAGCGGGGAGGAAGGUUCGUUACUUAAUACGUAACGGAAUUGACGUUACCCGCAGAAUAAGCACCGGCUAACUCUGUGCCAGCAGCCGCGGUAAUACAGAGGGUGCAAGCGUUAAUCGGAAUUACUGGGCGUAAAGCGCGCGUAGGUGGUUGUGUAAGUUGGAUGUGAAAUCCCCGGGCUUAACCUGGGCACUGCAUUCAAAACUGCACGGCUAGAGUAUGGGAGAGGAAGGUAGAAUUCCAGGUGUAGCGGUGAAAUGCGUAGAGAUCUGGAGGAAUACCGAUGGCGAAGGCAGCCUUCUGGCCUAAUACUGACGCUGAGGUGCGAAAGCAU